This 406-nucleotide ribosomal RNA is filed under the name uncultured bacterium. RNAcentral's name for it is "bacterial SSU rRNA". It matches the Rfam family "Bacterial small subunit ribosomal RNA", at positions 246 to 645 of the family's 1533-position model. The record is from RNAcentral.
UAGUUGGUGAGGUAACGGCUCACCAAGGCUAAGACGGGUAGCUGGUCUGAGAGGACGACCAGCCACACUGGAACUGAGACACGGUCCAGACACCUACGGGUGGCAGCAGUCGAGAAUUUUUCACAAUGGGCGCAAGCCUGAUGGAGCGACGCCGCGUGGGGGAUGAAUGGCUUCGGCCCGUAAACCCCUGUCAUUCGCGAUCAACCCUUAUUAUUUAAAAGAUGAUAAGCUGAUAGUAGCGGAAGAGGAAGGGACGGCUAACUCUGUGCCAGCAGCCGCGGUAAUACAGAGGUCCCAAGCGUUGUUCGGAUUCACUGGGCGUAAAGGGUGCGUAUGUGGUGGGGUAAGUCGGAUGUGAAAUCUCGGAGCUCAACUCCGAAAUGGCAUUGGAAACUGCCCUGCUUGA